This 77-nucleotide transfer RNA is filed under the name Brevibacillus borstelensis. Its description in RNAcentral is "tRNA-Met". It matches the Rfam family "tRNA". From Rfam's summary of the family: Transfer RNA (tRNA) molecules are approximately 80 nucleotides in length. Their secondary structure includes four short double-helical elements and three loops (D, anti-codon, and T loops). The record is from RNAcentral. RNAcentral also lists the same sequence under 5 other names. Lineage: Bacteria; Bacillati; Bacillota; Bacilli; Caryophanales; Paenibacillaceae.
GGCGGUGUAGCUCAGCUGGCUAGAGCGUUCGGUUCAUACCCGAAAGGUCGGGGGUUCGAUCCCCUCCACCGCUACCA